RNAcentral lists this ribosomal RNA (347 nucleotides) under Pseudis paradoxa (paradox frog). Its description in RNAcentral is "partial 12S ribosomal RNA". It matches the Rfam family "Bacterial small subunit ribosomal RNA", at positions 869 to 1384 of the family's 1533-position model. The record is from RNAcentral. Lineage: Eukaryota; Metazoa; Chordata; Amphibia; Anura; Hylidae.
UCGCCUGGGAACUACGAGCCAAGCUUAAAACCCAAAGGACUUGACGGUACCCCAUAUCCCUCUAGAGGAGCCUGUCCUAUAAUCGAUAAUCCCCGUUUAACCUCACCAUUUUUAGCCCACUCCGCCUGUAUACCUCCGUCGUCAGCUUACCACGUGAGCGCUUUAAGUGAGCCCAAUGUCUUCUCGUCAAUACGUCAGGUCAAGGUGCAGUAAAUAAAAUGGGAAGAGAUGGGCUACACUCUCUACUAUUAGAGUAAACGAAAGACCACCUAUGAAACCUGGUCAGAGGCGGAUUUAGCAGUAAAAAAGGACCAGAGAGCCUUUUUUAACCUGGCACUGGGGUGUGU